CUCUUCCUGCCGCGCUCCCUCAGAACUGGCUGAAGAACACUAGCUACUUCUCCAGCUGCGUGCCGCCAUGUUCCCUGUCAUGGGGAUAAAGGGACUAAAUCCCUCUGAAACGGUUCAUCUAUGAAGCAGCUGGCUCCAGAACCUUCUGCCUGCCUAAGGCCGAAUAAUGCUCUGCUUCUGAGUAUGCUGACUUGGGUUGUCUGUUUACCUCACUGCUGGCUGCUGGCUGCUGUCCCCCUGGGAGCUCCCUGCUUGGCUGCUGUGGCUAAUGCUGCCAGGAGGAGGAAGAAUGGACCCUUGCAAGGACACAGCUACCGCCCAGGGGUGCCUGGCGAGACAGAUUCUGCAAAUGUUUGUCAGCUCAGAGCCAGGUCUAGAAUGUGGCCUCUCUGGAGCUCGCUUGUUGGCUCCCCCAGAUGCAUCAUGGAAGGAGUUCCGCAUGCUCUGAGACAGUUUCUUCCCAGGAGGGGAUCAGCUUACUGGUGUGGACAAGAUCAUGUGUGUGUUUGUGCGCGCGCGCGCGCGUGUGCGCGUGUGCGCGUGCGCGUGCAGAGACCAAGGCAGUAAGAGACCCAACUAAGACUACCCACAGAUUUCUAGGCUAAGCAAUCUGAUGCGCUGGUAACAGUAUCUGGCACACAGGAGUAGUUAUGGCAGUGGGUUUUAUUACUGAGGCAAAGACACGGGGGGGGGGGGGGCGAAGAAGAGGGGCAGCAAGAGGUAGAGAAUAAUUUUGGUUUUGAAGCCUCCUCAAUUUGACAAAAGGCUGAGCUUAGAGAAUGUGCCUGGCAGCAGGCACAGGGAGGGCACUGAGACAUCACGCUGAAGGAGCUGCAGUGUGGCUCAGCCCGCCAACCAGGUCCCCCAGCUCAGCUCCUUGCUGUCCCCAUACGUCAUCUGGGCCUCAUCCUCGUUUGGGGGUGGGGUGGAGGGGGAAGAGAGGUUUCUUUGCAGAUAUGUAUGAUUAAGUAACAGAGAAAGGCCCUUGACCCUCCAAGGCCUGCAAUGAUACCACACUCUGUCUCCUUCUGAACACACCUGACCUUGAAGUCACCCCAGCUGGGCUGAUUUACGACAUGUUAAUGUGACUGUUUCAAACUCCAUUUUUCUGUCUGCUUUCUGGAUGGAGAUGGACAAGAGCGAGGUCGGGGAGGAAGGGCCUUAUUCCUGACAAGGCUGGCUGCUGUGGUGGCAGGUCCCAGCACCCUGCUCCCCUCUGCACUGUCUCUGUCCUUUGGGUGCAAGGGAGCGAUAGUGAGGGUACUCCUCCCACACCUUUGUGUUAACAGCGUAAAUAACCACGCCAGGUAACUGUCUGUGUUUGCCCCAGCCCCUCCCUGCUGUGUUCUGUUUCAAUAGCAGAAACUAAAGGAAACCAGGCUUCUGUGA
Molecule: long non-coding RNA, 1389 nt
Filed under: Mus musculus (house mouse)
Lineage: Eukaryota; Metazoa; Chordata; Mammalia; Rodentia; Muridae
Description: RIKEN cDNA E130202H07 gene
Source: RNAcentral